AAACAAACUCAGCAAAGCAGUAUUCCAUGAAUGAUCAUGCCUCAGGAAAGGUCUGUGCUUAAACCUCACUAUUAAACAGAAUUCAAUAAAAGGCCCCCUUGCCUAAGGCCCCCCACCCCUUGCCCUGCAGACGCUUCCCAGCUUGAGGGAAAGUUGGCAGGGCUCCAUUUUGCUAAUCUAUCUCUGGACACAGCUUUUCCUCAGCCUCUGACAUGGGUCAAUUCUGAGUUGUAAUCCAGCCUGUCUUCCGUGGGUCCCUGAGGAAAUUUGAAGACGGAAUGCAACUUGUUUUAUUGAACUGAAAACCAAGUGGCCCAUGUUUGGCUAAGAGCAAAAAAAAAAGAAAGCUCAUGAGAAGAAGCAAAAUGAAACACACGCAGGCUCUUUCACAUGGGCAGGCAGGGUAUGGGAGGACGGUGGGAGGAGGUGGGAAGUGUACAGGAGGCAGCUGAGUUUAUUUUUAACACCAAGUUAAAGGCAUACUCUAUGUUCUUCCCUUUUAAAAAUAGUCUUUUAACCUCUUGAAGCGUUUUGACUAUUCUGCCUGUGGGGUAAUACCCCCUCUGUGGCUGGCAACUCCCACUGGAUCUUUUCCCAUUAGGAGCGUCCUGGCCAAGUACUUAGAAGGAUGGAAAAACCCCAGAAUUUUUCUUCUGAGAACUCCUGAUCAGCAUAUGCAUACAGCUCCUGUGUGCAGAGAGGCUUAUAAACCCUGGCUGCUUCUUUGGACCUUGAGCUUUACAGCAUUUUCCAAAGCUUGAUGGUUUGGAGAAAUGUCCUCUUUUUAAAACAGUCUGGGUUAGUAAAAUGGUGGAGAUAGUCUUUUUGAAGUCCAUUGCAAUAAUUUAUUCAUUGAGCUUAUGAAUGAUACAACACACAUAAAUACACAUUUAUAUCCAUGAAAUUAGAAUAAGUAUGAAUAAUAUAAUAAUAACUGAUCUCUAACACUUAAUGGAGGGCUUACUCUAUGCCAGGCACUGUUUCAUAUAUAUUUAAUGUUUUAAACAAUUCUCUCCAUAAUAUCAUCCCAUUUUACAGUUGAAACAACUUGGGCUCAGGGCCAUUAAGUAACUUGUGAAGAUUGUAAAGUCAGUGAGUGAUUUAAAGGGAAGGAAUUCAAACUCAGGCCAUCAGGCAGUUCAAGUCCACUGCUAGCCCAUUUAUUGAGUCCAUGAUUGAAAAAGGAGCACAUACCUUAAGACCCUUUUGAUUCCAUCUGUUGGGAAGUUAUCAAAUGUACUGAUUUGAUUAGAACAUUUUAUUGCAUUUGCAAGAUAGUUGUCAUAAGAAAAAGCUAAAUCCACAAUGCUGACAAUGUGAAGGGGACCCCCUCCGAUGUGAUCGUUUUGUGCAGUGCAUAACCUGCGCAAAGAUACACGGGUGGCCCUAUGUACACACACACAGCACACACAUGGGUACUUUUGCAGACAUGGCAGUUUUAUGAAGGAAAAAACCAGACUGCUGUAGUUUAAAAGGAGAGGGGAACCUAGUUUUCAGAGGUAAACAGACUGAUCUGAUGUUGGCAACAGCUCUUUCUACAUGCCUCAGUUUUAUAUCAAAUCUUAUAUGAAUCUCUGGAAAUUGUUGUAUUUGUACACAGUACAAAAGUGCCCUACUUUCACUUGUCUUUUCUCCUCCUCUGGGGAAAUAAACGUUUAAUUCACAUUGGAACAGUGUGGCCUACGUAUAUACAUUCAUAUAUAUGUGUUAAGGUGGAGGCGGGGAGGAAAAAUAAAUAGAACAGUUCACAAACCUAGAAGAGUAAAAUUUUAUUGUGGAAGAUUUCAAAAAUAUACUGAAGUAGAUCAAAAAGCAUAAUGAACCCCACUUACGCGCGUGAACCUACCAGCCAGCUGUAGCAAUUAUCAACUAAUUAUCAGCUAAUGACUAGUCUUGCUUCAUCUAUAUUUCUUCUCCGCUCUUACUGAAGCAAAUUUUAAAUAUCAUUUUAUCCAAAAACAUUUAGUACAUUUCACUGCAAGUUGUAAACUGAUUUUGAAAAACAGCUGUAAUUUUAUCAUUAAAUCUCAGCAGAAAUAGUAAUGUCCCUGAUGUCAUCAUAUAUCUAAUCAGUGUUCAAAAUUUCAACUGUCUUCCAAACGUCCUAGAUUUUCUUUUGUUUGUUGUUUUCACCUUGUGUUUGUUUUAAAUGAGAAUCAACUAAGUUCAAACACCACAUUGGUAGUAAAGUCUCUGUCUCUUUAAAUCGGCAAGUUCUCCCUUCAUCUUUCUUUUCCACAGUCUGGAUUUCGCUGACAUGCUGAUAUGGCAUCUUCAUAAUGUAGUUUAACAUGUUUCUCUGCAGCAGAAUCAUUUCUAGGAGGAGUCCAGGCAUCUGAAUAUUCUUUUAUGGUAGUUAGGUGAAUAUGAACCACAGCUAGGCUUGGAAAGACUAGGAAAAUCUUAGUGUCUUCUCCCAGAUUUCUUAAUGUGUUGGUUGAAGAAAUGAAACUUUUUUUUUUUGUCUUUUUUUUUAGGGCCACACCUGUGGCAUAUGGAAGUUCCCAGGCUAAGGGUCAUGGCUAUAGCUGCUGGGUUAUACCAUAGCCGCAGCAAUACAGGAUCCUUAACCCACAGAGCAAGGUCAGGGAUUGAACCCGCAUCCUUGUGGAUCCUAGUCGGUUUGUUACUGCUGAGCCACAACAUGAACUCCACGAAACUCUUUCUUGAUUAUUAUAAUGAAAACAAUAUGUCCACCACCUGUUUUUUUGUAUUUUUGGUUGGUUGUUUUGGUUUUUUGUUGUUGUUGUUGUUGUUUUUAGGGCCGCACAUGGAAGUUCCCAGGCUAGGGGUCAAAUCGUAGCUGCAGCUGCCUGCCCACACCACAGCCAUGGCAACACGGGAUGCAAGCCAAGUCUGCAAACUACACCACAGCUCAUGGCAACGCUGGCUCCCUAGCGCACUGAACAAGGCCAGGGAUCAAACCCACAUCCUCACGGAUCCUAGCUGGGUUUGUUACCACUGAGCCACAAUGGGAACUCCUGUCCACCACCUGUUGAUAGGUAAAGAACCCUUUUUGCUUGUUGAGGGCACAUAGAAUCCCUAGGGUAAAAUUUCCUGUUCUCCAGGAGAACUAUUUCUCAGCCAGGCUUGAGAGGGGGCAAUAGGCCUGCACUGAUGGCACAAGAAAAAAGAGAAUCUCCCAAGGGGUGAUUUGCUUUCAGCUGGGACCAUGUGAGAACCAGUAACCAGCUGGAAAAUUGCCAAUUAACCAGCAAAGCCUCUAUUUUAAGUCAAAGGCCAUUAGGUUCUCUGGGCUCAGCUUUACAGCCUACUUCUCUGCAGAAUCUAUUGCACCAAUAUCCUUGCUAGGCAGAGGCAGGCUUCAUCCUUGCUGUGGAAGAAACAGUGAUGCUAUCUGUCCUGGGCUGCUCUGCCUCUUGGUCAGCAGCCUGACCUUUCUUGUGUCUCUUGAAGAUUCAAGAUAAUUAAAAAAUAAUAAGCGCAUUGCAGUUUCUUGGAAAGGUUGGGGUUUUGAACGUUUCCCUUCCCCAUUUCCACCUUGCUCGUCAGCACUUGCCCCAUUCCCUGAUGUUGCCCUUGCCCGGAGAGGUGUUUGCACAGUGCUUAUUAUCCGAGAGCCUGGGGUCAAGGUUUGCUCUGCAACCUCACUGUCUAUCUGGGUGACCUUGGAUAGGCCACUUGAUUCUCUGAGCACUGAUAGCUUUACCUGUAAAUAAAGAUUGUAUCAAAUGCUCUGCUUAUCUCAUGAAGAUGUAGUGAAGACCAAAUCAAGAGGCAAUGUAAAUGGGUAUGUGUCUAUGUAUGACUGAUCACUUUGUUGUACAGCAGAAAUUAUCACGACCUUGUAAAUUAAUGAUACUUCAAUAAAACUUACAAGAGUUAAUGUAGGUGAAAGGCCUUCAUUGAGCUGUAAAGCACUGCCCAGUGCCCUUGCUGCUUGCUGCCUCAACUACAUCUGUUCAAUCCUGGCUGACCGUGUAGAAGAAGUCACAUGAAUUUUAGAGGCUAAUAAGGUCCCAUUGCUUUUUGGCUGUACCAUUUUGGGAAAUUUGGGCUCUGAGCCUUGGUUUCCUCAUACAUAAAAUGGAGAUCAUUUUUCUGGUUUUUUUUUUUUUUUUAAAUGGCCGAACUGGUGGUGUAUGCAAGUUCCCAGGCCAGCGAUUGAAUCCGAGCCACAGCUGUGAUUUAUGCCGCAGCUUCAGCAAUGCAGGAUCCUUAACCCACUGAGCUGGGCCAGGGAUCAAACCGCAUUAACCUGAGCAGCUGCAGUUGGAUUCUUAACCCACUGCACCACAGUGGAAACUCCUAUCUGGCAUUCGUUUACUUACAUCUUUAUUACUUUACACCACAUCCUGACCUACCAUCGUUAUGCGGACUAACGCUGAAGCACCUCACUUAGAUUUGGCAACCAGUAAGGUCUCAGGACAUGGUAAUUCUUUUUCCUGUUCUGUUCUUGGCGAUUGGACAGAUGCCUUCCUAUAUAAAGAAAGAUCUCUUCCUCUAGAUUGCUGAGGACAGAACUGUCUUCUUGCUCCUCCAUCCUUGCCUAUGAGGAUAUUUGCUUAUAGGCCAGAUAAUGCUUUGAAUUCUCUUCGUAAGUCUGUGGACUAGGAAAUCAUAUAAUGAAGCAGUGCUCUUAUAUUACUUGGGAAUAAAGAUUCUUCAACAGCUUGUACAAAAGAUUUGGCUGACCGCAAAAUUAGCAUGAGUCAGCAGAGUAAGGGAGUAAGCAGAAAUCAAUGAAUUUGGGGAAACACUUAUGUAAGGUCUAAUCCAUUCCUCCUCCUGGGCUCAUCCUACUUGUGUAGGUCACACUGUAUCUGGAGUAAAGGACUCAGUUUAAGAUGCUAGGCCCCAGAUGAGGAGAGCUGACAAAGAUCUUGGGGUUCCAUGUGCUUGAGUAACUGUUAGAAAAACCGAGGAAGCGUUCCUGCUGUGGCACAGUCAGGUAAAAAUCUGGCUGCAGUGGCUUGGUUACUGUGGAGGUGUGGGUUUGAUACCUGGCCUGGUGCAGUGGGUUAAAGGGUCUGGCAUUGCGACAGCUGUGGCAUAGGUCAUAGCUGUGGCUUGGAUUCAAUCCCUGGUCCAGGAACUUCCAUAUGC
Molecule: long non-coding RNA, 5067 nt
Filed under: Sus scrofa (pig)
Lineage: Eukaryota; Metazoa; Chordata; Mammalia; Artiodactyla; Suidae
Description: lncRNA (ENSSSCG00030053810.1)
Source: RNAcentral